Molecule: ribosomal RNA, 301 nt
Filed under: uncultured bacterium
Lineage: Bacteria
Description: partial 16S ribosomal RNA
Rfam family: Bacterial small subunit ribosomal RNA
Source: RNAcentral
CAGUCGCCACGGUAAUACGUAGGGUGCAAGCGUUAAUCGGAAUUACUGGGCGUAAAGCGUGCGCAGGCGGUUUGUUAAGACAGAUGUGAAAUCCCCGGGCUUAACCUGGGAACUGCAUUUGUGACUGGCAAGCUAGAGUGUGGCAGAGGGGGGUGGAAUUCCGCGUGUAGCAGUGAAAUGCGUAGAUAUGCGGAGGAACACCGAUGGCGAAGGCAGCCCCCUGGGCCAACACUGACGCUCAUGCACGAAAGCGUGGGGAGCAAACAGGAUUAGAUACCCGCGUAGUCCCUGUCUCUUAUCC